GACGAACGCUGGCGGCGUGCUUAACACAUGCAAGUCGAGCGGUAAGGCCCUUUUGGGGGUACGACGAGCGGCGAACGGGUGAGUAACACGUGGGUGACCUGCCCUCAGCUCUGGGAUAAGCCUGGGAAACGUGGGUCUAAUACUGGAUAUGACCUUUCCUCGCAUGGGGGUUGGGGUGGAAAGUUUUUCGGCUGGGGAGUGGGCCCGGCGGCCUAUCAGCUUGUUGGGCGGGGUGAUGGCCUACCAAGGCGACGACGGGUAGCCGGCCUNAGAGGGCGACCGGCCACACUGGGACUGAGACACGGCCCAGACUCCUACGGGAGGCAGCAGUGGGGGAAUAUUGCGCAAUGGGGCGGAAGCCUGACGCAGCGACGCCG
This 377-nucleotide ribosomal RNA is filed under the name uncultured bacterium. RNAcentral's name for it is "bacterial SSU rRNA". It matches the Rfam family "Bacterial small subunit ribosomal RNA", at positions 28 to 399 of the family's 1533-position model. The record is from RNAcentral.